GGAUUUACCGUAGUCUCUAGGGUCGAAGCAGUAAACCGGGACGACGGAGACGGAAUCGUUGUUGGCGGAGGUGAGGCACUCGUUGUCGUGAAUGCGGAGGUCGUUGCGGAACCAUACGACGGCGGCGCGGCGGAGUGCGGCGGCGCCGGAGGGGUUGGAUGGGCGGAGGGGGUUAAGAGUGAGAGUGUUCUGGAGAGGGUUGGCUGAGAUGGUGGAUUUGAAGAAGGCUUUUGGUUGGGGGAGGGAAGAGGAGAGAGAAAA
RNAcentral lists this long non-coding RNA (261 nucleotides) under Erythranthe guttata (spotted monkey flower). RNAcentral's name for it is "long non-coding RNA (EGUT_LNC000038)". The record is from RNAcentral. Lineage: Eukaryota; Viridiplantae; Streptophyta; Magnoliopsida; Lamiales; Phrymaceae.